GAUGAACGCUGGCGGCGUGCCUAAUACAUGCAAGUCGAGCGAACAGAUGCGGAGCUUGCUCCUCUGUCGUUAGCGACGGACGGGUGAGUAACACGUAGAUAACCUACCUAUAUGGCUUGGAUAACUUCGGGAAACCGGAGCUAAUACCGGAAAAUAUCUUGAACCGCAUGGUUCAAUAGUGAAAGACGGUUUUUCUGUCACUUCUAGAUGGAUCCGCGCCGCCUUGGCUGGUUGGUACGGUAACGGCUUACCAAGGCAGCGAUGCGUAUCCGACCUGAGAGAGUGGUAGCCCACAUUGGAACGUGGACACGGUCACGAGUCCUAAGGGACGCAGCAGAAGGGAACCGUCCGCAAUGGGCGGAAGCCUGACGGAGCAAGGGCGAGUGAGUGGUGGAGGUCUUCGGUUCGGGAUACUGUGUUAUGAGGGGAAAACAAAUGUGUAAGGAACAGUACACGUCUUGACGGUACCUGAACAGGAAGCCACGGCUAACUACGUG
This 497-nucleotide ribosomal RNA is filed under the name uncultured bacterium. Its description in RNAcentral is "partial 16S ribosomal RNA". It matches the Rfam family "Bacterial small subunit ribosomal RNA", at positions 28 to 507 of the family's 1533-position model. The record is from RNAcentral.